RNAcentral lists this ribosomal RNA (2907 nucleotides) under Klebsiella oxytoca. RNAcentral describes it as "23S ribosomal RNA". It matches the Rfam family "Bacterial large subunit ribosomal RNA". The record is from RNAcentral. Lineage: Bacteria; Pseudomonadati; Pseudomonadota; Gammaproteobacteria; Enterobacterales; Enterobacteriaceae.
GGUUAAGCGACUAAGCGUACACGGUGGAUGCCCUGGCAGUCAGAGGCGAUGAAGGACGUGCUAAUCUGCGAAAAGCGUCGGUAAGGUGAUAUGAACCGUUACAGCCGGCGAUGUCCGAAUGGGGAAACCCAGUGCAAUUCGUUGCACUAUCGUUAACUGAAUACAUAGGUUAACGAGGCGAACCGGGGGAACUGAAACAUCUAAGUACCCCGAGGAAAAGAAAUCAACCGAGAUUCCCCCAGUAGCGGCGAGCGAACGGGGAGCAGCCCGGAGUCUGAAUCAGCUUGUGUGUUAGUGGAAGCGUCUGGAAAGUCGCAGGGUACAGGGUGAUACUCCCGUACACUAAAACGCACAGGCUGUGAACUCGAAGAGUAGGGCGGGACACGUGGUAUCCUGUCUGAAUAUGGGGGGACCAUCCUCCAAGGCUAAAUACUCCUGACUGACCGAUAGUGAACCAGUACCGUGAGGGAAAGGCGAAAAGAACCCCGGCGAGGGGAGUGAAAAAGAACCUGAAACCGUGUACGUACAAGCAGUAGGAGCCCACUAGUUGGGUGACUGCGUACCUUUUGUAUAAUGGGUCAGCGACUUAUAUUCUGUAGCAAGGUUAACCGAAUAGGGGAGCCGCAGGGAAACCGAGUCUUAACUGGGCGUUAAGUUGCAGGGUAUAGACCCGAAACCCGGUGAUCUAGCCAUGGGCAGGUUGAAGGUUGGGUAACACUAACUGGAGGACCGAACCGACUAAUGUUGAAAAAUUAGCGGAUGACUUGUGGCUGGGGGUGAAAGGCCAAUCAAACCGGGAGAUAGCUGGUUCUCCCCGAAAGCUAUUUAGGUAGCGCCUCGUGAACUCAUCUUCGGGGGUAGAGCACUGUUUCGGCUAGGGGGUCAUCCCGACUUACCAACCCGAUGCAAACUACGAAUACCGAAGAAUGUUAUCACGGGAGACACACGGCGGGUGCUAACGUCCGUCGUGAAGAGGGAAACAACCCAGACCGCCAGCUAAGGUCCCAAAGUCAUGGUUAAGUGGGAAACGAUGUGGGAAGGCCCAGACAGCCAGGAUGUUGGCUUAGAAGCAGCCAUCAUUUAAAGAAAGCGUAAUAGCUCACUGGUCGAGUCGGCCUGCGCGGAAGAUGUAACGGGGCUAAACCAUGCACCGAAGCUGCGGCAGCGACGCUUAUGCGUUGUUGGGUAGGGGAGCGUUCUGUAAGCCGUUGAAGGUGGCCUGUGAGGGUUGCUGGAGGUAUCAGAAGUGCGAAUGCUGACAUAAGUAACGAUAAUGCGGGUGAAAAACCCGCACGCCGGAAGACCAAGGGUUCCUGUCCAACGUUAAUCGGGGCAGGGUGAGUCGACCCCUAAGGCGAGGCCGAAAGGCGUAGUCGAUGGGAAACAGGUUAAUAUUCCUGUACUUGGUGUUACUGCGAAGGGGGGACGGAGAAGGCUAUGUUGGCCGGGCGACGGUUGUCCCGGUUUAAGCAUGUAGGCGGAUGUUCCAGGUAAAUCCGGAACGUUACUAACGCUGAGGUGUGAUGACGAGGCACUACGGUGCUGAAGUGACAAAUGCCCUGCUUCCAGGAAAAGCCUCUAAGCAUCAGGUAACAUCAAAUCGUACCCCAAACCGACACAGGUGGUCAGGUAGAGAAUACCAAGGCGCUUGAGAGAACUCGGGUGAAGGAACUAGGCAAAAUGGUGCCGUAACUUCGGGAGAAGGCACGCUGAUGGUAGGUGAAGUGACUUGCUCACGGAGCUGAAAUCAGUCGAAGAUACCAGCUGGCUGCAACUGUUUAUUAAAAACACAGCACUGUGCAAACACGAAAGUGGACGUAUACGGUGUGACGCCUGCCCGGUGCCGGAAGGUUAAUUGAUGGGGUUAUCCUCACGGAGAAGCUCUUGAUCGAAGCCCCGGUAAACGGCGGCCGUAACUAUAACGGUCCUAAGGUAGCGAAAUUCCUUGUCGGGUAAGUUCCGACCUGCACGAAUGGCGUAAUGAUGGCCAGGCUGUCUCCACCCGAGACUCAGUGAAAUUGAACUCGCUGUGAAGAUGCAGUGUACCCGCGGCAAGACGGAAAGACCCCGUGAACCUUUACUAUAGCUUGACACUGAACACUGGUCCUUGAUGUGUAGGAUAGGUGGGAGGCUUUGAAGUGUGGACGCCAGUCUGCAUGGAGCCAUCCUUGAAAUACCACCCUUUAAUGGCUGGUGUUCUAACGUGGGCCCGUGAUCCGGGUUGCGGACAGUGUCUGGUGGGUAGUUUGACUGGGGCGGUCUCCUCCUAAAGAGUAACGGAGGAGCACGAAGGUCAGCUAAUCCUGGUCGGACAUCAGGAGGUUAGUGCAAUGGCAUAAGCUGGCUUGACUGCGAGCGUGACGGCGCGAGCAGGUGCGAAAGCAGGUCAUAGUGAUCCGGUGGUUCUGAAUGGAAGGGCCAUCGCUCAACGGAUAAAAGGUACUCCGGGGAUAACAGGCUGAUACCGCCCAAGAGUUCAUAUCGACGGCGGUGUUUGGCACCUCGAUGUCGGCUCAUCACAUCCUGGGGCUGAAGUAGGUCCCAAGGGUAUGGCUGUUCGCCAUUUAAAGUGGUACGCGAGCUGGGUUUAGAACGUCGUGAGACAGUUCGGUCCCUAUCUGCCGUGGGCGCUGGAGAAUUGAGGGGGGCUGCUCCUAGUACGAGAGGACCGGAGUGGACGCAUCACUGGUGUUCGGGUUGUCAUGCCAAUGGCAUUGCCCGGUAGCUAAAUGCGGAAGAGAUAAGUGCUGAAAGCAUCUAAGCACGAAACUUGCCCCGAGAUGAGUUCUCCCUGACUCCUUGAGAGUCCUGAAGGAACGUUGAAGACGACGACGUUGAUAGGCCGGGUGUGUAAGCGCAGCGAUGCGUUGAGCUAACCGGUACUAAUGAACCGUGAGGCUUAACCUU